CAAUUUAUCAACAGUUUCCAUAUGGUAAGUGUUUGCUGUGACCUGUAUUUAAGAAAUUGUCCUCUUCCCGCAAGGUCAUGAAGAUAUUUUGUAUUAUAAAU
Long non-coding RNA from Lynx canadensis (Canada lynx), 101 nucleotides. RefSeq lists it as uncharacterized. The transcript has 3 exons. The record is from RefSeq and is a predicted model, not a curated record. Lineage: Eukaryota; Metazoa; Chordata; Mammalia; Carnivora; Felidae.